Molecule: ribosomal RNA, 492 nt
Filed under: uncultured bacterium
Lineage: Bacteria
Description: partial 16S ribosomal RNA
Rfam family: Bacterial small subunit ribosomal RNA
Source: RNAcentral
AGUGAACGCUGGCGGUAGGCCUAACACAUGCAAGUCGAACGGCAGCACAGUAAGAGCUUGCUCUUACGGGUGGCGAGUGGCGGACGGGUGAGGAAUACAUCGGAAUCUACUUUUUCUUGGGGGAUAACGUAGGGAAACUUACGCUAAUACCGCAUACGACCUACGGGUGAAAGCAGGGGAUCUUCGGACCUUGCGCGAUUGAAUGAGCCGAUGUCGGAUUAGCUAGUUGGCGGGGUAAAGGCCCACCAAGGCGACGAUCCGUAGCUGGUCUGAGAGGAUGAUCAGCCACACUGGAACUGAGACACGGUCCAGACUCCUACGGGAGGCAGCAGUGGGGAAUAUUGGACAAUGGGCGAAAGCCUGAUCCAGCCAUACCGCGUGGGUGAAGAAGGCCUUCGGGUUGUAAAGCCCUUUUGUUGGGAAAGAAAAGCAGCAGGUUAAUACCCCGCUGUUCUGACGGUACCCAAAGAAUAAGCACCGGCUAACUUCGUG